UAACCUGCCUUAUAGUGGGGGAGUAGCCUUUCGAAAGGAAGAUUAAUACCGCAUAAGAUUGUAGUAUCGCAUGAUAUAGCAAUUAAAGGAGCAAUCCGCUAUAAGAUGGACCCGCGUCGCAUUAGCUAGUUGGUGAGGUAAUGGCUCACCAAGGCGACGAUGCGUAGCCGACCUGAGAGGGUGAUCGGCCACAUUGGGACUGAGACACGGCCCAGACUCCUACGGGAGGCAGCAUG
This 236-nucleotide ribosomal RNA is filed under the name uncultured bacterium. Its description in RNAcentral is "partial 16S ribosomal RNA". It matches the Rfam family "Bacterial small subunit ribosomal RNA", at positions 122 to 353 of the family's 1533-position model. The record is from RNAcentral.